Ficedula albicollis (Collared flycatcher) is the source of this 799-nucleotide long non-coding RNA. RefSeq lists it as uncharacterized. NCBI's taxonomy places the organism in Eukaryota, Metazoa, Chordata, Aves, Passeriformes, Muscicapidae. The record is from RefSeq and is a predicted model, not a curated record. The transcript is spliced from 3 exons.
GCAGAGGGAGCCCUGUGCAUGGUGUGAGGGGCUGUCUCUGGCAGCGUGUAGCUGAAGGGUAUGUCUCGUCUGUACUCUGGUGAGGCUUGCAGAGGCUGGCCCUCACAUAAAGAGUGGUCUGAGCCCUAUGUGCAAAGCAGGGAGGGCAGAUGGGAGACUGACAGGGGCUGUGGAUGAGGGGAAAAUUGUGUUUGGCCGCUGGUCCAUAUGGGCAGGUGGGUUGUGCCUGGCCCUGUGUGUGGUGUCAGCAGCAGAGCAGGCACUGGGGAAGUGCUGACUCUGGAGGUGAUGGUGGGUGCUGGCUGGACAGGGGCUGUGCAGAGCUAGGGGCUGUGGGGAACAGGAGGUUGUGGGGGACUCUGUGGGCCUCAGGGGAGCAGCACUGCUGGGGCAUUCCCAUCAGGAGCUGCUCCCCUCUCAUAAAGGGGAACUGAGAGCUUGAAAAGAUCGAAUGAUCUGUACAAACUACUGGGCAGAACUGAGAAUGGAACCUAAAUCUUCGAAGGCCUCCUGCUGUGCUUUAACCACAAAAGGAAUCCAUCCUUUCCUGGUGGAUACCAAUUUACCAUGAACAAAAUUGUGUCAUCCACCAAAAGGAAGAGAAAGGAGGGAUGAAGAAAACUAGAGAAAAAUGAAUGCCUAUAUAAUAAAACAAAUAGAAAAAGGGACUGGGUGGGGGUAAAGACAUCCAUUCUAUAAGAGUAAGAAGUUAGAUCCAUGGGGACAGAUGACUUGGAUCAACACUGCCAUUCUCUAAAAUAGUUGAAGGGUUUGUAAGGUGGGCAAUUAUUGUGAGUUG